Molecule: ribosomal RNA, 566 nt
Filed under: Streptomyces sp. 331D01
Lineage: Bacteria; Bacillati; Actinomycetota; Actinomycetes; Kitasatosporales; Streptomycetaceae
Description: bacterial SSU rRNA
Rfam family: Bacterial small subunit ribosomal RNA
Source: RNAcentral
UAGUGGCGAACGGGUGAGUAACACGUGGGCAAUCUGCCCUGCACUCUGGGACAAGCCCUGGAAACGGGGUCUAAUACCGGAUAUGAGCUAGAACCGCAUGGUUCUGGUUGUAAAGCUCCGGCGGUGCAGGAUGAGCCCGCGGCCUAUCAGCUUGUUGGUGAGGUAAUGGCUCACCAAGGCGACGACGGGUAGCCGGCCUGAGAGGGCGACCGGCCACACUGGGACUGAGACACGGCCCAGACUCCUACGGGAGGCAGCAGUGGGGAAUAUUGCACAAUGGGCGAAAGCCUGAUGCAGCGACGCCGCGUGAGGGAUGACGGCCUUCGGGUUGUAAACCUCUUUCAGCAGGGAAGAAGCGAAAGUGACGGUACCUGCAGAAGAAGCGCCGGCUAACUACGUGCCAGCAGCCGCGGUAAUACGUAGGGCGCAAGCGUUGUCCGGAAUUAUUGGGCGUAAAGAGCUCGUAGGCGGCUUGUCACGUCGAUUGUGAAAGCCCGGGGCUUAACCCCGGGUCUGCAGUCGAUACGGGNCUAGCUAGNGUGUGGNAGGGGAGAUCGGAAUUCCCU